RNAcentral lists this ribosomal RNA (2902 nucleotides) under Escherichia coli. Its description in RNAcentral is "bacterial LSU rRNA". It matches the Rfam family "Bacterial large subunit ribosomal RNA". The record is from RNAcentral. Lineage: Bacteria; Pseudomonadati; Pseudomonadota; Gammaproteobacteria; Enterobacterales; Enterobacteriaceae.
UUAAGCGACUAAGCGUACACGGUGGAUGCCCUGGCAGUCAGAGGCGAUGAAGGACGUGCUAAUCUGCGAUAAGCGUCGGUAAGGUGAUAUGAACCGUUAUAACCGGCGAUUUCCGAAUGGGGAAACCCAGUGUGAUUCGUCACACUAUCAUUAACUGAAUCCAUAGGUUAAUGAGGCGAACCGGGGGAACUGAAACAUCUAAGUACCCCGAGGAAAAGAAAUCAACCGAGAUUCCCCCAGUAGCGGCGAGCGAACGGGGAGCAGCCCAGAGCCUGAAUCAGUGUGUGUGUUAGUGGAAGCGUCUGGAAAGGCGCGCGAUACAGGGUGACAGCCCCGUACACAAAAAUGCACAUGCUGUGAGCUCGAUGAGUAGGGCGGGACACGUGGUAUCCUGUCUGAAUAUGGGGGGACCAUCCUCCAAGGCUAAAUACUCCUGACUGACCGAUAGUGAACCAGUACCGUGAGGGAAAGGCGAAAAGAACCCCGGCGAGGGGAGUGAAAAAGAACCUGAAACCGUGUACGUACAAGCAGUGGGAGCACGCUUAGGCGUGUGACUGCGUACCUUUUGUAUAAUGGGUCAGCGACUUAUAUUCUGUAGCAAGGUUAACCGAAUAGGGGAGCCGAAGGGAAACCGAGUCUUAACUGGGCGUUAAGUUGCAGGGUAUAGACCCGAAACCCGGUGAUCUAGCCAUGGGCAGGUUGAAGGUUGGGUAACACUAACUGGAGGACCGAACCGACUAAUGUUGAAAAAUUAGCGGAUGACUUGUGGCUGGGGGUGAAAGGCCAAUCAAACCGGGAGAUAGCUGGUUCUCCCCGAAAGCUAUUUAGGUAGCGCCUCGUGAAUUCAUCUCCGGGGGUAGAGCACUGUUUCGGCAAGGGGGUCAUCCCGACUUACCAACCCGAUGCAAACUGCGAAUACCGGAGAAUGUUAUCACGGGAGACACACGGCGGGUGCUAACGUCCGUCGUGAAGAGGGAAACAACCCAGACCGCCAGCUAAGGUCCCAAAGUCAUGGUUAAGUGGGAAACGAUGUGGGAAGGCCCAGACAGCCAGGAUGUUGGCUUAGAAGCAGCCAUCAUUUAAAGAAAGCGUAAUAGCUCACUGGUCGAGUCGGCCUGCGCGGAAGAUGUAACGGGGCUAAACCAUGCACCGAAGCUGCGGCAGCGACGCUGAUGCGUUGUUGGGUAGGGGAGCGUUCUGUAAGCCUGUGAAGGUGUGCUGUGAGGCAUGCUGGAGGUAUCAGAAGUGCGAAUGCUGACAUAAGUAACGAUAAAGCGGGUGAAAAGCCCGCUCGCCGGAAGACCAAGGGUUCCUGUCCAACGUUAAUCGGGGCAGGGUGAGUCGACCCCUAAGGCGAGGCCGAAAGGCGUAGUCGAUGGGAAACAGGUUAAUAUUCCUGUACUUGGUGUUACUGCGAAGGGGGGACGGAGAAGGCUAUGUUGGCCGGGCGACGGUUGUCCCGGUUUAAGCGUGUAGGCUGGUUUUCCAGGCAAAUCCGGAAAAUCAAGGCUGAGGCGUGAUGACGAGGCACUACGGUGCUGAAGCAACAAAUGCCCUGCUUCCAGGAAAAGCCUCUAAGCAUCAGGUAACAUCAAAUCGUACCCCAAACCGACACAGGUGGUCAGGUAGAGAAUACCAAGGCGCUUGAGAGAACUCGGGUGAAGGAACUAGGCAAAAUGGUGCCGUAACUUCGGGAGAAGGCACGCUGAUAUGUAGGUGAAGCGACUUGCUCGUGGAGCUGAAAUCAGUCGAAGAUACCAGCUGGCUGCAACUGUUUAUUAAAAACACAGCACUGUGCAAACACGAAAGUGGACGUAUACGGUGUGACGCCUGCCCGGUGCCGGAAGGUUAAUUGAUGGGGUCAGCGCAAGCGAAGCUCUUGAUCGAAGCCCCGGUAAACGGCGGCCGUAACUAUAACGGUCCUAAGGUAGCGAAAUUCCUUGUCGGGUAAGUUCCGACCUGCACGAAUGGCGUAAUGAUGGCCAGGCUGUCUCCACCCGAGACUCAGUGAAAUUGAACUCGCUGUGAAGAUGCAGUGUACCCGCGGCAAGACGGAAAGACCCCGUGAACCUUUACUAUAGCUUGACACUGAACAUUGAGCCUUGAUGUGUAGGAUAGGUGGGAGGCUUAGAAGUGUGGACGCCAGUCUGCAUGGAGCCGACCUUGAAAUACCACCCUUUAAUGUUUGAUGUUCUAACGUUGACCCGUAAUCCGGGUUGCGGACAGUGUCUGGUGGGUAGUUUGACUGGGGCGGUCUCCUCCUAAAGAGUAACGGAGGAGCACGAAGGUUGGCUAAUCCUGGUCGGACAUCAGGAGGUUAGUGCAAUGGCAUAAGCCAGCUUGACUGCGAGCGUGACGGCGCGAGCAGGUGCGAAAGCAGGUCAUAGUGAUCCGGUGGUUCUGAAUGGAAGGGCCAUCGCUCAACGGAUAAAAGGUACUCCGGGGAUAACAGGCUGAUACCGCCCAAGAGUUCAUAUCGACGGCGGUGUUUGGCACCUCGAUGUCGGCUCAUCACAUCCUGGGGCUGAAGUAGGUCCCAAGGGUAUGGCUGUUCGCCAUUUAAAGUGGUACGCGAGCUGGGUUUAGAACGUCGUGAGACAGUUCGGUCCCUAUCUGCCGUGGGCGCUGGAGAACUGAGGGGGGCUGCUCCUAGUACGAGAGGACCGGAGUGGACGCAUCACUGGUGUUCGGGUUGUCAUGCCAAUGGCACUGCCCGGUAGCUAAAUGCGGAAGAGAUAAGUGCUGAAAGCAUCUAAGCACGAAACUUGCCCCGAGAUGAGUUCUCCCUGACUCCUUGAGAGUCCUGAAGGAACGUUGAAGACGACGACGUUGAUAGGCCGGGUGUGUAAGCGCAGCGAUGCGUUGAGCUAACCGGUACUAAUGAACCGUGAGGCUUAACCUU